Molecule: long non-coding RNA, 269 nt
Organism: Felis catus (domestic cat)
Lineage: Eukaryota; Metazoa; Chordata; Mammalia; Carnivora; Felidae
Exons: 2
Source: RefSeq, a predicted model, not a curated record
UUAGGGUCGCUAACCCAACCAGCUGAUGAGACGGAGAGAUUAUUCUGGAUCGACUGCAUGGGUCCAGUCUGACCUCCUGAGUCCUUAAACAGUGAAGAGGGAAGUACAGCAUUCGGUGUUCGAAGGAUUCAGUGGCCUCCUAAGUCCCAACCAGCAUAAUGGAAUGCAAGAAUGUGAACAAGAAAACAGACGUUAACGGACCCGAUUCAAUCCAAUCAAAGUGGUAAUACUCGAUGCUGGUGUGACUGAAGUAAAACUAGUAAUGCUCA